RNAcentral lists this ribosomal RNA (208 nucleotides) under uncultured bacterium. RNAcentral describes it as "partial 16S ribosomal RNA". It matches the Rfam family "Bacterial small subunit ribosomal RNA", at positions 568 to 774 of the family's 1533-position model. The record is from RNAcentral.
UGCGUAGGCGGAAUAGUAAGUCAGGGGUGAAAGUUUGCGGCUCAACCGUAAAAUUGCCUUUGAUACUGUUAUUCUUGAGUACAUUUGAGGUAGGCGGAAUGUGUUGUGUAGCGGUGAAAUGCUUAGAUAUAACACAGAACACCGAUUGCGAAGGCAGCUUACUAAACUGUAACUGACGCUGAUGCACGAAAGCGGUGGGGAUCGAACA